GUGGGGAAUAUUCCGCAAUGGACGAAAGUCUCACGGAGCAACGCCGCGUGAGUGAUGAAGGUUUUCGGACUGUAAAGCUCUGUUGUUUAGGACGAAAGUGCCUGUUGCAAAUAGUUACAGGUAUUGACGGUACUGAACGAGGAAGCCACGGCUAACUACGUGCCAGCAGCCGCGGUAAUACGUAGGUGGCAAGCGUUGUCCGGAAUUAUUGGGCGUAAAGAGCAUGUAGGCGGGAAUCUAAGUCUGUUGUGAAAAUGCGGGGCUCAACCCCGUAUUGCGAUGGAAACUGGGUUUCUUGAGUGCAGGAGAGGAAAGGGGAAUUCCCAGUGUAGCGGUGAAAUGCGUAGAUAUUGGGAGGAACACCAGUGGCGAAGGCGCCUUUCUGGACUGUGUCUGACGCUGAGAUGCGAAAGCCAGGGUAGCGAACGGGAUUAGAAACCCCUGUAGUCC
Molecule: ribosomal RNA, 450 nt
Filed under: uncultured bacterium
Lineage: Bacteria
Description: partial 16S ribosomal RNA
Rfam family: Bacterial small subunit ribosomal RNA
Source: RNAcentral